GGUGCGUGGGGGGCAGGUCUGGGUGGGGAGAGGGUGGAUGGCCCCGCGGGCACUUUGACCCCAAGUGGGCAGCCCCGGCCCGCUCCUGGCUUUGGCACUCGCUGCCCAGCUUCCCUUGGCCAAGCUCCCCUGGCGAGGGGGUGAGCUGAGGCCCAGAGUAUUUGGGAAGGAGGAAGGAAGGAGAAGCCCCCUUCCCCCUUGGCUGCUGGAAAGGAUUUGUCUUUCUUGUCUGUAAGCCCUUGCACCCUGGUCCUGUGCUGUUCAGUGGAGGAAACCGUGGUUACCCAGGUCCUGUCAAAAAGUGCACGUCUCGUCCAAUAAAUCACGCUGCAAUUGGUGUCCAUCCCUGAGUUGCUGGGGUCAGGGUCCUUUCCAGGCGCUGAGCAGAGUCCUAGGGCCUGACCGUGUGUUCUUGCUCCCAGCACCCCCUGCGUCAACAUGGGGGGGGGUAGGAGGGAGAAGGAGGAUGUUUAUUCUGGACUCGGAAUCAGGGUGGAGCCUGACUUAAAUCCAUUCUCCCACCUGCUUGCCUGUCACCAUUGAGUUCUGGGGGCACCACAGUCCUGGACCCUCCCCGGCUGUGGCAGUCAGGUCCUUGGCACACGCAGGUGGGCUGCUGUGGGUAGGAGAGCCUGAGGAAGACCCUGGGCUUAUGUUUGGGACAGGGACCUUGUCAUUGCCUCUUUUUUCAAACUCAGAAGAUGGAAGGCUGGUGGGGCCGAGGCAGGUCUCCCACGAAACCUGGCUGCCACCUUGGAUGACAAUUCCCUGAGGGGUUUCCCCUCCCUCCUCCCAAUUCUGGACCUAAAGCCAAUGGUAGGAAGGAGACAGGAGCAGGGGGAGCAGAGGGGUGUCAAGCAGGAUGGGAGACGAAUGCGAGCCCCAGUCUCGCCUUCCUUGAGACUCGGGAAGGGCCGGGGAGGAUUGAAGGAAACCCACUGAGCCAGGUGUGGUUUGGAGUGACGUUUAAUGUGACAGCCACAGAAGAGUUACGUUCACAAACAAGCAGGGCUUCCCAUCCAGCCGUCCAGCCCGAGCAGGGACAGGGCUACACAGGCAGUACGGCCCAGGCACUUCCUGGGACCUAACCGGAAGAAGUGGCUCUGCCCCCUGUCCCAGCGUAAGGUGGGGGCCACAACCCAGCUGGGAAGAAGUCGGGCCUCCCACUCUCCCCUCGGCCCCCCGCCCCACCCCAGCCACUUGGCCCAACCCUGCGCAGGGUAAUUGGGUCGGGAGG
This 1237-nucleotide long non-coding RNA is filed under the name Sus scrofa (pig). RNAcentral's name for it is "lncRNA (ENSSSCG00065055161.1)". Lineage: Eukaryota; Metazoa; Chordata; Mammalia; Artiodactyla; Suidae. The record is from RNAcentral.